CCUACGAGAGGCAGCAGUGGGGAAUAUUGCACAAUGGGGGAAACCCUGAUGCAGCGACGCCGCGUGAGUGAAGAAGUAUUUCGGUAUGUAAAGCUCUAUCAGCAGGGAAGAAAAUGACGGUACCUGAUUAAGAAGCCACGGCUAACUACGUGCCAGCAGCCGCGGUAAUACGUAGGGGGCAAGCGUUAUCCGGAUUUACUGGGUGGAAAGGGAGCGUAGACGGCAGCACAAGUCUGGAGUGAAAUGCCGGGGCUUAACCCCGGAACUGCUUUGGAAACUGUGCAGCUAGAGUGCAGGAGAGGUGAGUGGAAUUCCUAGGGUAGCGGUGAAAUGCGGAGAUAUUAGGAGGAACACCAGUGGCGAAGGUGGCUUACUGGACUGUAACUGACGUUGAGGCUCGAAAGCGUGGGGAGCAAACAGGAUUAGAUACCCCGGUAGUC
RNAcentral lists this ribosomal RNA (440 nucleotides) under uncultured bacterium. Its description in RNAcentral is "partial 16S ribosomal RNA". It matches the Rfam family "Bacterial small subunit ribosomal RNA", at positions 338 to 795 of the family's 1533-position model. The record is from RNAcentral.